AUGGCAGCGUGAGCAGACUCUGAACUCACCUCCUCCCGUGGACACAGCCAAUUUACAACUACUCGUGGAAAAAUUACCCCUGAGACAGAACUGAAAACUGCAUAAGAGGAACUCCUGCAACAACGGACAAUCCUAACUGAGGCAGAAGAGGCAGAGACUCCCUUCUGGAGAGGAAAAACGCCGCCUUCACAAGCCGCCAGCUUCACGGCCGCCGGGAGCAGCGCACAGCGUUGAGAGUGCUCCAUUAGAAUAGCAAUCCUCUCUCCACCGAUUCACUCUACGGAAAGAGGAAUAUCUCAUCUGAUAGUUUCAGAUGGAAAGCUGAAACAACACUAGCGUCAAUUACCCCUUGCAGUAGUUCCAAAUAAGCAUUCGGUAACAUAUUUUGUGACGUGAGUGGUGCAGAACACUGUUACGGUGGGGUUGCAGGAAUGGUCAUGAUGCAUGUAUAUUUUAUUUAAUAUAUGAUUAAAGUUGGCUUACUAAUAUUUUAUUUAGGAUAUUUUUACCUCUGUUCAUAAGUAACAAUGUUAUAUAAUUUUAUUUUUUCUUAUUGUCCUUGUCAGGUUUGGCACCAGCAUUACAAAAUAAGUUACAUUAUAAUGGUCCUUCUUUCUUUUCUCCGGAAGAAUUGCAUAAGAUUGGAAUUAUCUAUUCCAUGAAUUAUCUGUCCCAUGAAUUAUCUGUCCCAUGAAUAACCCUUAAAACACCUAGGUUUUUUGGUGUGCAAAUUUUUAAAUACCAUUUAAACUAGUUUGAUGCCUUCAGGAGUGAUAAGUUUUAAUUUUUGCUUAAGUCAGAUUUGGUAAAUAAUUAUUUUUCUAAAAAUGUAUUCAUGGUAUCUAGUUUUCAAAUAUGGCCUAAAUUUCUUCAGAUCAGUGACAGCUUCUAUA
This is a long non-coding RNA of Diceros bicornis minor, 893 nucleotides long. RefSeq lists it as uncharacterized. NCBI's taxonomy places the organism in Eukaryota, Metazoa, Chordata, Mammalia, Perissodactyla, Rhinocerotidae. The transcript has 4 exons. The record is from RefSeq and is a predicted model, not a curated record.